UUUUCAAUGAUUCUGCUUUUAAAGUUUCGACUGGUGCUGAGAUUUUUAAAGCUUCCACUAACCAUUCCAAUUGAACACCAAUGACUAUUUCUUGCUUUAAUCUAAUUUUGUAGGUCAGGAGGUGAGUGAAGAUGGUGGCCCAGCUCUGUCAACCAAGCCAACUUCUUCGUUGUCAGAGUCGGUCGAAGUUCAGGUAGUUGAUUCCCUUGGUGGUUUAAACCCCAAUAGACAUACUACUAUUUUGUUUAAAGAGAAAGAUUCAACUGAUGGUGCUCAAUUGAGGGGUCACUAUUUCAGCUUCGGGUGUUAAUAAAAUUCAGAGUUCGGGGAAAAUAUUAGGGAGUAAAGAUGGGGGCUUUCGGGCUACAAGGAAAAUAAAAAAAAUUACACAUGGGAAAGGGAAUAAUUUUAAAAUUGGAAAUUCUUCUAAAAUUUCUUUGAGUGAUUCUAUGUCUAGGUUGGCUCAGUCUGUUUCCGCAUUACGAAGUGCUGAUUCGAGUUCAAUUGACCCAGGUGCUGGUAAAAGAAUUCAGGAAUGAUUAUUAAAGCUAUGGACAGUAAGGUUUCUUGGGUUUUUUUUUAAUUCUUUUCUUGUUUAUUUUUUAUCAUGGAUUUAAAUUUAUCAAUUUUUUUUUGGAAUUGUCAAGGCUGUGCAAGUAGUAAAUUUCUCUGCAUUUUUCGUGAGUAUAAUUUUAAGCAUAAACCAGAUAUAGCGUGUCUGCUGAAACCAAGAGUUAGUGGUAAAAAAGCUAAUUCUAUUAUUGAUAAAUUGGGUUUGACCAGGGAUUUAAAUUGCGGUCGCGGUCGCGUUUUCGGUCGCAUUGCAUUUAUCGCGGUUGCGGACAUAACGGAUGCUAUUGCGGUCAUUGCAGGUAUCGCGGUCGUGAAUUUUACAUUACUUAUUGUGUAUUGCGGGUAUAGCGGGUUUCGGCAGUAGCGGUUUCGGACGGUGCCGUUACCGCUAUAUAACGGCCGCUAUUUCGGUAACGGACCGCUAUUUAAAUCCUUGGGUUUGACUUUUCUCACUGCAUUUGAGUCUAUUGGUUUUACAGUGGCAUCUGGGUUGGUUAGAAGGAUAAUAUUUGCAUUAGCAUUACUCAUAAUCAUCCCCAGGUCAUGGUUCUUCGUGUUCAUGGUAGUACUCACACUAAUUCCUUUUUUUUAUCUUUUUUGUGUAUGGUAGUCUUGAGAGAAUUAAGCUGAAGUCUCUUUGGACUGAUUUAAUGGAGGUUUUACCUCACGAUCCUUUACUUUGGCUGAUUAUGGGUGACUUUAAUGCUAUCCUCUCACCUAAGGAUAAAAAAAAGUGAUCACUCUACUAGUAAUAGAUAUAAUUUGCAGGACUUUGGAUUCAUAGGACCCUCCUUUACCUGGCAAAGAGGUAAUACGCACGAGUGGAUAGAUCGAGCAUUAACUAAUGAUACUUGGAUUUCAUCCUUUCCGCAUAGUCUCAUUUAUCAUCUUCUGUGCAUUAAAUCAGAUCAUAGGCCCAUCCUUCUAAAACUUAAUCCUGAAUUCAGUAUUCCCAAAGGGAGACCUUUUCGGUUUCUUGUAGUAUGGACAAAGCAUACGAAUUUUAAAGAUUUGGUCUCUAGUAAGUGGAGGUUUUCAGGUAACAUGGCAGAUUCUUUAUACAAUUUUACCUCACAUGUCAAAGAAUGGAGCAGGUCCGUAUAUGGCUUAUAGGCACGCACAAAAGACACCUUAUGAGAUCGCUUGCAAGCAUUCAAAAGGCCAUGGAUCAGUCGACCUCCAAUAGGUUAGUUAACUUGGAGAUGGAGGUUCGAGAUGAAUUGGAAAGUGUGCUUAACCAUGAGGAACUUUUUGGAGGGAAAAAGCUAGGUGUGAGUGGCUCUAGUUUGGGGAUCGCAAUACCAAUUUCUUUCAUAGUUGUACAGUGCAAAGGAGGAAAUUUAAUCGUAGUAUGGCCUUACACAUUAAUAGCAGGGACUGGGGUUCUGAUCAGAAUAUUCUUAGUAAUGAGGCCAUCAGGUUCUUUGAGAGAUUGUAUGGUGAAAUCCCAACCCCCAUGAGUGAACUUCCUCUAAUAUCUUUCCCCACCUUAAGGAGCAUGAUAUCAAUUUCUUUAAAAAGUUAGUUUCAAAUGAAGAGAUAAAUAAGGCCCUUUUUGACAUGGCUUCGUUGAAAGCUUUGGGAAGUGGUGGGUUCCAUGCGUAUUUUUUCCAAAGUCAGUGGGACUUAGUUGGAGGGGCAGUUUGUGAAUGGGUUCAGGGAAUCUUUGCUGGUAAUAGAAUUGAGGAAGCUCUUACCAACAUUCUAAUUGUGCUUAUUCUGAAGAAAGAUCGAUCGGAGGAUUUCAAUCAAUUUUGGCCAAUUAGUCUUUGUUCGUUGUUGUAUAAGUUGGUGAUAAAGGUGAUCGUUAAUAGACUUAAAGUGGUGUUUUCGAAUUAUAUAUCACCUGAGCAAGUGGGGUUUAUUUCUGGUCGUAACAUUUCUGAUAAUGUCAUUAUUGCACAAGAAUUCAUUCAUCCAAACGGUAGUAAGAGAGUUGGUAGAAAUUGGAUGGCCAUCAAGUUGGAUCUAGAGAAAGCCUAUGAUAGGAUUAGUUGGGAUUUUAUUGAUGCGUCUCUUGUAGCAGCUGGGAUUCUCGAGUUCCUCAGAAAGGUGCUUAUGGUUGCAAUUUCUUCUUCUUCUAUGCAGAUCUUAUGGAAUGGAGUUCCGUCUUAGUCCUUUAAGCCUGUGAGAGGGAUUAGACAGAGGUGUCCUUUAUCGCCUUAUCUUUUCAUUCUUUGCAUGGAAUGGUUGGGUCAUAUUAUUUGCUUAAAAAUCACAGCUGGUAGGUGGCAUCCGAUUCGGUUAUCUAGGUUGGGGCCAGCCUUAUCUCAUUUUUUUUUGCUGAUGACCUUGUCAUUUUCGGCAAAGCGAAGCUGGAACAAGUUUUUUUGUUAAAGCAAAUCCUUAAGCACUUCUGUGACUUUUCUGGGCAUAAAAUCAGCGCGAGAAAGAGUAACAUGUAUUUCUCCAAAGGUGUUGAUAAUAGUUUGUGUGACCAGCUUAGCCAGUUUUUUGGGUUCCUGAAAGUUCUUAAUCUAGGAAGUUAUUUGGGGUGCCUUUCUUUCAUGAAUGUGUUACUAAAAGUACUUUAAAUUUUGUGGUUGAUAAAGUGAGGCAUAAAUUUCAAAAUUGGGAAGCUAGAAAACUCUCAUUUACGGGACGUGUCACUCUCACCCAAUCAGUUCUCCUAGCUAUUCCAAACUAUUUCAUGUAGUCUUUGUUAAUCCCAAAAGUUGUGUGUGAUGAGAUAGAGAGGAUUGCAAGGCAGUUCAUUUGGGGUAGUUCUGCUGGAUAUCCAAAAAUAGCCCUGGUAGAAUGGGAGUCCAUUUGUCAGCCUAGGUCUCGUGGGGGCCUUGGGUUUCGGCACCUUCAAGACCAAAAUAAUUCAUUCCUUAUGAAAAUUGGGUUCAACCUAGUCUCUAGAAAGGACGCUUUAUGGGUUCAUGUCCUUCGCUUGAAAUAUGGCUGGAAGAAUUAGCUUCUAGAUUCUAUUCACAAAAAUCAAUGCUCUCAUCUUUGGCGUUCCCUCUAAAGGUGUGGCCCCCUUUUUUGUGGGAAUCACAUGUAGUCUGUAGGUGAUGGCUAUACAAUUCGUGGUUAGAAAUAUUCUUGGGUACCACAUGUUGGCCUUCUUUUUUCUUAUGUUUCAGCUCAUGCAAGCCUUGAUUUGGAGAGUACUUUGAGGGAUUAGGUUCUUCUUGAUGGUUCUUGGAAUGUUGAUUUGCUUCGUAUUUGGCUAUCUGAUGACAUGAUAAAGCGUAUAGUAAGUAUUUCCCGUCCUCAUUCUACUAGUGGUGAGGAUAGGAUCAUUAGAGCUCAAUCUAGUUCAAGGUCUUUUUAUAUUCGUAGUGCUUACUGGGCUUUAAAAAAAGAUUCUUGGGGUCUUAAAGAUGAUAUUUGGAAGCCUAUUUGGAAAUAUCAAGGCCCACAGAGAGUCCAUCUUUUUCUUUGGCUUGUGGCCAAGCAGUAGAGGCUUCUUACUAAUUCAGAACGCGCUAGGAGAGGAAUUGGGCAAAAUAGUGUGCCCCUUCUAUGUGGUCAGGAUACUGAGGACAUUAUGCAUGUUCUCUGAGAUUGUUCAACAGUUAAGGAAGCUUGGAUGCUUGUAGUCCCUCCGAGAAGCAACCUAGGUUUUUUCUCAUUCCUUUCAAAUUUGGUUUUCCACUAAUCUUUGUUGUCAUUUUAAGAUGGAGGAUAAGGGAAUUACUUGGUCAUGCUUAUUUGGGUUAAUUGCUUGGAGAAUUUGGAAGAACAUGAAUAUUUUCAUCUUCUAAAACAUCAAUUGGAUAGCUUAUGAUGUUAUGAAAAACUUUCUGUGUUGGGUUAACAAUUUGAAAUUUUGGAUCAAGCCUAAUUCACCCAAUUUGGAAAUUCACUAUCAUUGUGAAGAUAAUUGGGUCUAUUUAUUUUCUAAUGGAGUAAUGGCUAGAGCUUCUUGAAAUACUUCUGCAGGUGGCGUGGUUCGUGAUCUGGUUGGCAAUUGGAUUUUGCGUUUGAAUCAUUAUUUGGGCAGAUUUUCGCUUUUGGAUGCAGAACUUUGGGGUAUUCUUGAUAGAAUUCUCAUUUUAUUAUGUAAGAGCUACAAGAAAGUCAGGAUUCUUAAGGAAUUAGUGGACUCCAAUAUUACCUUGCUCAGAAGAGUUAAACGGUUUUUGCGUUCUGAAGGUUAGUGGGAAAUUAAGUAUGGUCCUAAGGAGUGUAACUUAAUUGUAGAUCAAUUGGCAAAGAUUAGUCUCUCUUGGCAGACUUCCCUUCAGAUCUUUUAAGUACCUCAUAAUUUGGUGAUUAUGGCUAUCCAACAACACAAAGCUUUUAGAGUCUCCUAGUAGUUUUUAAGUUGUAAUUUUGUUUAUCAUUUUUCACCAAAAAAAUAAAACUAGGGAAUAUGAGAUGGAUUUUAAGCCAUUGGAUUACCAUUAAUUUAGUAGGACUUGAGUCUAACCAUUUAUCAAAAUAAGUUGGAACUUAUGAGACUUGACAAUGGAAAAGUGGAGAAGGUUUCUAAAUUUUUUCUUCUUCACAUAAUUAGCUAAGUGUAGAGAAAUGGAGAACCCUUGCAAAUCGUAAGCUAUUCUGCCCAAAAUUUAUGAGUUUUUAUUAAACAUCAUGGUCAAAUCUUGUCACCAAACUCUCUUAGAAUCUAAUACCUAUAAGUUAGAUGUUUGAAUUGAAGCAAUUUGUAAAUUAGAAGUUAAGUUCUUCAGGUGGAAGUGUUAAGAGAGUGAAGUAAGAAAGUUGUCACACCCCAAAAUUGGGCCUAGAAGUUUCGAGGGUAAAAUGGGGAUUUUAACUCUAGUGUGCUUGGGAAUUUCAUAGCAUAAGGAACCAUAAAUGUUUUCAUCUAUAGCUUUUAGAAGAUUAAAUCAAUUUUUGAAAAUAUUAUUGAAACGAAUUUCAAUUUUAAAAUAAGGACUGAUUUGUAAAAUGAUCUAAAUUUUGAGUAUUUAUAAGGCAAUUAAACCAAAUUUUAAAAAUCAACCUAAUAUUUCCCCCACCUACAUGUUUACGUUAGUUUCUUCAGGCUUUGUUUUUGUGGCCAUCCCUUGUUUUUCAAAAGAUCUUCCUACACAAUUUUGAUUCUUAAACUUUAAUAUAUUAAUUUCUAUCAUCACUCAAGCCAUAAAUCUCUAUAGAACUUCAAGAAAAAUACCCAAAACACCAUUAAUUUGCCAUCUCUCAAGCUUGUGGGUUUUUGGGGUUUUUAACCAAAAGCUUGUUUUUCUUCCAUCGAAGGUAACGAUUCAAUUCCUUACUAGUUUUUAAUGUUAUCUAGUCUUUUAAAUAGAUUUUUUAGCCAUUCAAUCGCAUGUUUCAAAUAAAAGCGAAAAUUUGGGUUAUUAAUGGUGGAUUUCGAGAUUUUGAAUAAAGACGUGGUUUCAAAGUGCUUUUCAAUUAUUUUUGAUGUGAUUAGAAGGUUUCAAAAAUUACUUUGAAGUUUCGUUAAGGAUUUCUAAGGAUUUAAUGAAUUUUCGUGAAAAUUGCCAUAACAUGUCAAAAAAUUUUGAUACCAUGGAUUGGGUAGUUUUGUAUAGUUUAAAGGUUGAGAAUCUGUUAUAGGUGAAUAAUUAUAUGAAUGGAAUUCAUUUUAGGCAAAAAAAAUAGUAUAAACUGAGAUAUUUGAAUUUCAAGUUUGCUAUGCCGAAGGUUUCGAUUACAAGAGAAUUUAGUUUAGGUUUGUGUUUUGAUUGUUUCAAGUGAGUCUUUGUUUGAUUGUUGAUUGUGUUGUUGUGUGAUUUACCUUUUUGAAGCUUCAGAAUUGUUAGAACCUUCAACGAGUAAAGAUAAAGGUAAGGAAAAACUAGUUUAAACUUUCGGCGAUUAGGCAAAAACGCGAACGGUGAGUGUUUGGAAUCGUUACUUAUAGACAUUAUUCAUAAUGUUAAUUGGGAGCUUAGGAAUAACCUAAACCCCUAUCCUAAGUUCCGAGUGUAAGCUUUAUAUUUACCUUGCUUUAUUUUGGCAAAUUAUAUUAUUAUGUGAAUAAUUAUGGAUUAAUUAUUAUUGAUGCGAUAUUGUGAUAUGAGACAUGUGUGAUGACUAUUGUGAAUUGUGUUGUGUUGUAGGCGUGAUAUACAUGUCAAAUGACAAUGAUAAUGAUAUGAUAAUAAUGCAAAUAUAUAGCGAAAGCGAGCGAAAUUUCGAUAAGUAUUUAUGUGCUGAAUUGUGGAAUGUGAUAUUAUUAUGACAGGUAAUAUGUGAGAAUAGUUGUAUGUGAUUAUGUGAUGGCUCAAUGAUCAUUAUUGUGGCACUUAAAGUGCAAUUAAAUGUGAAUUCGAUAAGCAUGCAUUGUGUACAAGUUUUUUUUUAUGUAAAUUGAUGAAUAUGAACAGAGAUGAUGUGCAUUAAAUCAAUAAUUAAAAAUGUGUAAUUGUGGAUAUUUUGGCCUUGUGAUCUUUUGAAAUCGUUGGAUAUAUUUGGCAUACCAUAGAAUUAUGAGUACUCACCCUUGUGUUUUGUGAUUUAGACAUUGAGGCCCCGAGAUAGUUUGGAGAGAUAAAGGAAUGUUAGUUAAGCUCCAUUCACCGGGAUAUAUUGGUGAAUUGGAGAGUGUUAGCUAUGUGCUACACUUUUGGGAUAUGUUUGACUCAAUGAGUCAUUUGGUGUGUUGGAGAUCCGUGUAUCCAAUGUGUGGUGAUAGAGCCCACUUUUAUGUUUCAUAGCCUUAAGUGCCAAAUUAUUGUUUAAAUGUGAUCUUAUUUAUUAUGAUAAUACGAUGUGAGAUGGAUGCAUAAACAAGUAAAUAAUAUGCUAAAUGAGUCUAUUUAAGUUUCAUGAAAAUGUUAGUAUGUUCUCAUAAUAAAUUGCAUAUGUAAUUGUGGUUUGGAUCAUUUUCAUUUAACUUUUGAAUACAUGUGCAUAUAUAAGCUAGACUUGUGAGUUACUAAAGCACGUAUAUGAUUUUUAGUCUUGAUGAAUUAUUGUAAAAUGAAAUAUUUGUAUAUAAGUUUAGUGUAGUUGUACGUGAGAGUAUAUGCUAGCUUUAUGAUUUAAUGAAGCGUAAAUAUGUUAUUGUGACUUGGUUAGAAUAUAGUUGUGAACGUGUUGUAGUAUGCUCUUGUUUAACCUUUGAUCUUGUGUAUACUUUGUGGUUACUUUGACAUUCACUGAGCUUGUUUAAGCCCAUUCUCUCUAACCAUUGUGAUAUUUCGUGUUUGCGGUGUGAGCAGUGCGGGGAUACCAAGGAAGUGAUCCAAAUUAGGCUUUAGUAUAUGCAUAGGUGGUAUUAAUACUAUUUUUUGAACUGUGGGGAUAAGGCAAUGUGGUUAGACUUUGAUCGAUUAUUACUGUGGUCCUCAUGAAAUUUUAUGGGUUUAGUUUUCUAGCACUUUUGAUAGAUGUUAUAAUUAUAGACUUUGAUCGAUUAUUACUGUGGUCCUCAUGAAAUUUUAUGGGUUUAGUUUUCUAGCACUUUUGAUAGAUGUUACAAUUAUUUCAUUGGUAUUAUUUUGGUUUAAAUAUUUGUUAUGUUGAAGUGCCAUGAAUUGUAUGUAUAGUUAGUGGAUGUUGAAUAAUGUGGUAAAACUGUUGCAUGAACUUUGUCAUAAUGUUUUGAUAUAUAACUUUCAUAGCUUAUUUGUUCUUAGGAUUUAUGGAUAUUGUUAUUGUUAUAUCAUUUGCUUACUCAGACAUGUUUUCGAUGAUUGAACUGUUAUUGUGGUCAUUUUGGUAAUUACUUGAUAAGGUAAAAGUUGCAUGUUGAGUAGUUAUUAUCUUGAAUGGAUUAUAUGCCUUAAAUUGUUGAAUUUUUGUGGCCUAAAGCAGAGGUAUUGAUAUUCGUGUUUUAAAAAUGAUACCUUCAUGAUUUUUUAAAGUGCAUAAAGUCAGUAACGUAAUUUGGUAUCGAUACCAUAUCACGAGUAUCGAUACUCGAGGUAAAAUAAUCGAUACUUUAUAAAAUGUACCAAUAAUUUCUAAUAUUUUGAUUUUAAAUGAGAAACAGAAUGCUAUUUUGGUAUCGAUUUUCAAAACAAUAUCGAUAGCUUUUGAGAGAAAUAUUGAUACAUUUUAUUCAGUAUCGAUACCUAUGUGAAUAAUUUAGAAUUUCUAUUUAGUGGUCUAUAAUCAUGUUUAACUUUCAUUUUAAGUUCGCUUAAAAAAUGUUUAGCAUGUUUUAAUGACAAUUGGAAUACGUAUGACUUAUAAUUAUUACGAAAGCUAAAAUGGAAGAUGUUUGCUUAAUAAUGGGACCAUGCUAAUGUAUGUGAUGUGUGACAGUGGUGCGACAUCCUAAUAUUCAGGCUCAGUGACCGAGCUGGGUAUAGGGUGUUACAAAAGUUAUUUGGUUAAGUUACAUUCAUGCAUAACUUAUAUAGUUGUUGUUAUAAUUCAAGUUAUCUACUCUGGUAUGAUUGUUGAUUAUUUUUGUACAUGUGUUUUGUGAAGAGAAAAUUGUAGAGAAAAGUGAAAAAAGCAAGGGAAAUGAUAAAGUCCGUAAGUGAAUGGGUGAUUGAAGGUUUACCCUCUCUUGCAAAGCUUGGAGAUUUGGAAAGUGCUCCAUAAAUUCCCCUUUACCUUUUACUUGAUUAAACGACCAAGUCAUAUGGUUAACAAGCACGAUAAAUGGCAUGAAAACUAAAAAAUUGAAUAGACACUUAGUUAAGGUGAGUUAAUUAAAAUUGGCUAGCUUAACAAGUUUAUAAUGUGAUAUGUGAUAAGUAUUAUGACAUUAUAUUAUGUAUGGAGAUAUAAUAGAUAUCAUUGGUUCAAUCGUAAAAUGCCUAAGUGGUUAAGGAUUUAAAAGAGGCAAGUUAUUGGAAAGUGAAGCUAUGAAAGAACAUGACUUGUAAUGAAAAUAUGAAAAAUAUGAAUUCUGCGAGGUUAAUAGGAAGAAUGAACAAAUGAGCCAUUAGCAAAAUAUGUGUUAAACAUGAUGCCUUCAAGUGUUUGAUUGUAUAUGAAGAAUAUGAGCUUAAUUAAGUGAAUUAAUGUGUGAUCAAUGGAUUAAAACACUUGAAUAUUGCGACCCCCUUAUGCAUUUGAUGCAUUAUAAGUGAGCAUUCUAUGCAAAAAUAAAAAUAAUGUGAUUAUGUUCUUAACGUGAGAAACCUUGAGAUAUUGUAAAAUGACCUAAUAAAAUUGGUAGGAAUUAGUUUUAUAUAUAGUUACCAUGCCAAUAAGGUUAGUAGUACUGCAUAUGAUCAUUGAUUGUUAAAAACUCCUUAUCUUUGUACUAGAUGGGUGUGUUUAGAAAUCUCACCACCAAAUGAUUAUGAUUGGCAAUUCCCAAGAUAUCUUUGUAUUGGAUGGUUGUGAGUGAAAUUCCCAGCAACCUCAGUAUUGGAUAGGUAUGUAUUCCCAUAUAUUCGACUCCAAAAUUCUUUUGUAUUUUACUAAUGCUACGAUUUGAAUUGUAAAAAUGAUUGAUUUUGAUACUGAAAUAUGUUAUUACCAUUAGAAUGAUAUGUAUAGAUAAAGGAUUUGGAUAAUAAGCUAAGGAAUAAACACUUGUAUAAGUUGUAAAAAAUUGGUAUGUGAGUAAAUAGUGAUAAAUGAGAUUGUUAAUGGAUAACAAGAGUAUAAGUGAAUUGAUUAGUGACUAUGCUAAGUAUGGUAAAAAAACAUGAAAUUGGUAAGGCUUAAGUAAGUGCUAGAUAAACUUGGAACUCAUAAUAUAAAAGGUAUAACUAAGGCAAGAUCUAAUGAUAUAAUUGAGUAUAGGAACAAGAUCAAAUACUCCUAGGAAGCUGAGUAAUAACAAUUUCAAUAAGAUAAGAAUUGGUGAUGGUUUUAAAUAGGUAUACAAAGUUGGCUAAUUCACUAAUUGUAUUUUAUAACCCCAAUAUUUGAUAAUAAAGAAAAAAAGGGCUAAAAUGGAUUUUAUUUGGUACACCACUAAGCAUGUUAUAACACUUAACGUGUGAAUUUUUUUUCCUUUUGUAAGUUGUGGAUCGACUCAUGAAGAUUGUUGUUGAACCUGGCAUCAUCGAAGUCAUACUAAAGCUAAUAUAUAUGCUACACUUCGAACCAUUUUGGUUAUGUACACACACUAGCUUAUUUAGCAUGUACUAUGUAUAUUAUCUUUUGGACAUCAUACAAGUAGUAUAAGUUGGUAUGUAUAUGUUAUAUCAUAGUUAAGUGACUUGGUAUGUGAUCUGUCAUCAUUUGAUAAAUCAAAUCAGGCUCUCCAUUACAUUUAAAGAGCUUAUUCUCAAGUAAAUUAUGUGUCUUUUCUUUUCUUUUUUUUGAUUUUUACUUUUAUUGUUAAUAAAUUACUUUUGUUAGAUUUAUACCAUUUUUUAGACCCAGAUUGGCUAAUCGUACCAUAGGGGACCUAAGAGUGAGAUUAAGUGGUGUAGGGAGCUGAUAAUAGCCCAAACAUGAAAAAAAUAUCACUUAAAAGGGGGUAUCGCUAUAUCAAAUCAUGAAAGUCUUGAUACCCCUAAUAGUGCUAAAGUGAAGGAAAUUGAGGCCAACUAUAGAGAUAUCACGAUACCGAGUAGUGGGUAUCACGAUACCGAGAUCCGCAAGACUCUCAAUCUUAAGACUAUUAUGGGUAUCUUGAUACCUAAGCCUGGGUAUUGCGAUACCACUACCUAACGAGAGAAAAAAAUUGUUGGGGCAAUUUUAUGUCCAACAAGUUUAAGUCUGUUUUUCAUUUAAUGGCAUAAUGGUCAAUGCUAGGUUAAAUGUUUGUACGCUAUAAAUACAAAUUUAUAAGCGUUUGUUUUUAGAGAUUUU
This 11193-nucleotide long non-coding RNA is filed under the name Gossypium barbadense (sea-island cotton). RNAcentral's name for it is "long non-coding RNA (GBAR_LNC022432)". The record is from RNAcentral. Lineage: Eukaryota; Viridiplantae; Streptophyta; Magnoliopsida; Malvales; Malvaceae.